Molecule: ribosomal RNA, 705 nt
Filed under: uncultured Pseudomonadota bacterium
Lineage: Bacteria; Pseudomonadati; Pseudomonadota
Description: bacterial SSU rRNA
Rfam family: Bacterial small subunit ribosomal RNA
Source: RNAcentral
GCUUGCUUCUUUGCUGACGAGUGGCGGACGGGUGAGUAAUGUCUGGGAAACUGCCUGAUGGAGGGGGAUAACUACUGGAAACGGUAACUAAUACCGCAUAACGUCGCAAGACCAAAGAGGGGGACCUUCGGGCCUCUUGCCAUCGGAUGUGCCCAGAUGGGAUUAGCUAGUAGGUGGGGUAACGGCUCACCUAGGCGACGAUCCCUAGCUGGUCUGAGAGGAUGACCAGCCACACUGGAACUGAGACACGGUCCAGACUCCUACGGGAGGCAGCAGUGGGGAAUAUUGCACAAUGGGCGCAAGCCUGAUGCAGCCAUGCCACGUGUAUGAAGAAGGCCUUCGGGUUGUAAAGUACUUUCAGCGGGGAGGAAGGGAGUAAAGUUAAUACCUUUGCUCAUUGACGUUACCCGCAGAAGAAGCACCGGCUAACUCCGUGCCAGCAGCCGCGGUAAUACGGAGGGUGCAAGCGUUAAUCGGAAUUACUGGGCGUAAAGCGCACGCAGGCGGUUUGUUAAGUCAGAUGUGAAAUCCCCGGGCUCAACCUGGGAACUGCAUCUGAUACUGGCAAGCUUGAGUCUCGUAGAGGGGGGUAGAAUUCCAGGUGUAGCGGUGAAAUGCGUAGAGAUCUGGAGGAAUACCGGUGGCGAAGGCGGCCCCCUGGACGAAGACUGACGCUCAGGUGCGAAAGCGUGGGGAGCAAACAGG